GGGGCUGUAGUUAACAAUAACAUUUAAUUUGCAAUUAAAAAGUACUUUAAUUAGUCAGCCUCA
This 63-nucleotide transfer RNA is filed under the name Oxycarenus lugubris. RNAcentral describes it as "tRNA-Ala". Lineage: Eukaryota; Metazoa; Arthropoda; Insecta; Hemiptera; Oxycarenidae. The record is from RNAcentral. RNAcentral also lists the same sequence under 1 other name.